GGUCUCGUAGCUCAGGGGGAGAGCGUCCGCCUCACACGCGGAAGGUCGCUGGUUCGAUCCCAGCCGGGACCACCA
This 75-nucleotide transfer RNA is filed under the name Mycobacterium sp. RNAcentral describes it as "tRNA-Val". It matches the Rfam family "tRNA". From Rfam's summary of the family: Transfer RNA (tRNA) molecules are approximately 80 nucleotides in length. Their secondary structure includes four short double-helical elements and three loops (D, anti-codon, and T loops). The record is from RNAcentral. RNAcentral also lists the same sequence under 5 other names. Lineage: Bacteria; Bacillati; Actinomycetota; Actinomycetes; Mycobacteriales; Mycobacteriaceae.